UGCCGGCGGCCACCGCUAUUGGAAUUCGCUUAAGACAUGCGAGUCGAGAGGUGCAAGACCUCGGCACACUGCUCAGUAACACGCGGAUAAUCUGCCCUUGGGUGGAGGAUAAUCUCGGGAAACUGAGGAUAAUACUCCAUAGGCCACGGACGCUGGAAUGCUCCAUGGCCGAAAGUUGAGGCGCCCAAGGAUGAGUCUGCGGCCUAUCAGGUUGUAGUGGGUGUAACGGACCCACUAGCCUAUGACGGGUACGGGCGUUGGGAGACGUCGCCCGGAGAUGGGUUCUGAGACACGAACCCAGGCCCUACGGGGCGCAGCAGUCGCGAAAACUUGGCAAUACGGGAAACCGCGACCAGGGAAUUCCAAGUGCUAAUGCUUUGCAUUAGCUGUUCCCCUGCCUAAAAAGCAGGAGAAGUAAGGGCUGGGUAAGACGGGUGCCAGCCGCCGCGGUAAUACCCGCAGCCCGAGUGGUGGUCAUUAUUAUUGAGCCUAAAGCGUCCGUAGCCGGGCUCGUAAAUCCUUGGGUAAAUCGGGCAGCUUAACUGUCCGAAUUCCGAGGAGACUGCGAGCCUUGGGACCGGGAGAGGUUAGAGGUACUCCAGGGGUAAGGGCUAAAUCUUGUAAUCCUUGGGGGACCACCAGUGGCGAAGGCGUCUAACUAGAACGGAUCCGACGGUAAGGGACGAAACCCUGGGGCGCAAUUGUUGGGUGGCAUCGGCCAUCUUUCAGCGCAAACGGGAUUAGAUACCCCGGUAGUCCAGGGCGUAAACGCUGCAGGCUUGGUGUUGGGGGUCCUACGGGGACGCCCAGUGCCGGAGAGAAGUUGUUAAGCCUGCCGCUUGGGGGAGUACGGUCGCAAGACUGAAACUUAAAAGGAAUUGG
RNAcentral lists this ribosomal RNA (882 nucleotides) under uncultured Thermoplasmatales archaeon. Its description in RNAcentral is "bacterial SSU rRNA". It matches the Rfam family "Archaeal small subunit ribosomal RNA", at positions 15 to 868 of the family's 1478-position model. The record is from RNAcentral. Lineage: Archaea; Methanobacteriati; Thermoplasmatota; Thermoplasmata; Thermoplasmatales.